GGGUCACACUCCUGUCCUCACACCCACUGGACUCAAACACCCCCCUUCACUUUUUACUAGUUCACCUGCUCCAGUUUUGACGAUAUCUGCUGAUGGGUUUGCUGUGACUGACGGCUUGUUAAAUUAAGAUUAUAACAAGACUAAUGGCUACAGCCAUGCUAUAGAAGCUCAGCACAGGCUGUACAAACUAAGUGCGUGUUAGUCAAGCCAACAUGCACAAAGUGAAAACACCAACUACCUGAUGAUGGAGCUACACGACAAAUGUACCCUGAGAGGGUCUUGAAUCUUGGCGCGACAGUUCAGCCAAAAAACGGAUGUCAGACUCACACACAACACGUUGCUACUUAUGUCUCGUGGACUCGCGCACAAACUUUGAAGCGCUCUUUCAUCUUGCUCGUGUUGCUGAACAGUCCACGCUGAGAGAAAGCAUUUCCACGUGGAGCACCUACAGCGGCAGACAACACCGGUUCACCCUUCCGCACACCGCGACUGGAUGGGUCCAUCUAACACAACGUAUGUGCAUGUGAAGAAAAUUCGUAUGUUUUACAGAAAUCCCAUAUGAGUGAUGUGUAUGACUCCAGACGGAUUUGCUAAUUCUUCUGACAAAUGAGUAUCGAUCAUGAACUCUUCAAACUAGGUUGUUUUCUAUAAGCUGAUGGUGUGCUAAUAUUUCAUAUGUUUUUCUGGUUGUAUGACAUGUUGUGAUAGUUUUUUUAAUUUCCUAACAGUAACUAACAUGAAUGAAGUGGCCAAACACCAUUUUUACCUGACUGUCACCAGUAGAAGCAAGUCAGAGACAUAAUGGAGCUCCUCAGGGUGCUGCAAUGGCAUUCAUAGCUAAAUGUGAAGUCAAAGAAAGUGGAAGAAUGGAAGGUUAGAGCGGGUAUGGUCAAGCAGAAUUAUAAACAUACAGUUUGGGGGCUUUUAAAUAGAAAUUGAUGUUGUGGCCAAAUAUAAAAUUUAAGUAUAAAAUUAUAAAGCAGAAAAACACAAGCUGUUUUAGGGUUCUUUACCAAGUAAGAAGGCAUAAGGGCAGCACUUUAUCUGUGCAUGUGUCUUUUCUCCUUAUCAAAGUAACCUCCAUUUAUUUAUUGUUGUGCGAUUACAGUUAGUGAUAAAAAGGUGACCUCAUAACCUCAACGAUAAUUCUUUAUUUAGUGAUUUUUUUCCUCAGUCUUGAAGAAUUUUCUUUUUUAAGUAAAUUUACUUUUAUCUCUAAUCUUGGUAAUUCUGAGUUGUUGAUUUUUUUCUGAGAAAAGUAACCCACCCUUCUGUCGUCAUACUUUUCUUUUCUGUUCUUCUAUUUUCCCCCUCUUUUUUUAAGUUGCCAUUCCUAUUAGCAUAUCCGGGAUGAAAUUUAAUGGCACCAAGAGUUGUUUAUGAGGUCUCAUGUGACGGACUCGGAUUAAUUUGCCAAUUCCUCCCAGGGUGUGUUUGGGUUGCGCAAACUUGUAAGAAAGCCUUCUUUUCCUUUUCAAGACGUCCCUGCGGCGUUUACUGUAAAUAUAAAUGUGGUGUCAGUUAACUGGUUAAAAAAAGGCAGGGCUGCGGUUUUCCAUUCAAAACCACACAGCUGCUGAAGUGUUUCCUUCAUCUUCUUUCCGCCUCUCAUCUCAUCUCUCCGGUCUAUCUCCUGUUCAUCCACAUUAAAGGCAUACUGCUAAUUCAGGAAAGGUUCAGCUCCUGCUUUUAAGCUUUACUGCAUAAUAGGUCAA
Long non-coding RNA from Oreochromis aureus, 1715 nucleotides. RefSeq lists it as uncharacterized. The record is from RefSeq and is a predicted model, not a curated record. Lineage: Eukaryota; Metazoa; Chordata; Actinopteri; Cichliformes; Cichlidae. The transcript is spliced from 3 exons.